RNAcentral lists this long non-coding RNA (286 nucleotides) under Ictidomys tridecemlineatus (thirteen-lined ground squirrel). RNAcentral's name for it is "lncRNA (ENSSTOG00000032976.1)". The record is from RNAcentral. Lineage: Eukaryota; Metazoa; Chordata; Mammalia; Rodentia; Sciuridae.
CUCUGUUUUUCUGGCAUCUGCAAUUGGAAGCCGGCACAGGUGGCCGCUCAGGAAUCAUUGGGGAAAUGACAAGGGAUGCCCUUUCAGGACACACUACUCUGUCCAUCUUCCAUCCAGCCUGGAUAGGCAGGCUCUCCCCACCCUCCUGGAUUGGAUUCCAUUGACUCAUUUAUUUGCCCUGGAUGUCAUGGACUUCAGAAGGAUUUGCUGGGUGGAGACAUUUCAAAAGGUUCAAAUGUAAAAUGGGUCCCACUGAUAAAUGUAAAUUGUUUAAAUGACUUCAAUU